GGGGACAUAGCUCAGAGGUAGAGCACUUGCCUGGCAUGUAUGAGGACCUGGGUUCAAUCCCUACCUCCG
RNAcentral lists this transfer RNA (69 nucleotides) under Ictidomys tridecemlineatus (thirteen-lined ground squirrel). Its description in RNAcentral is "Spermophilus tridecemlineatus (thirteen-lined ground squirrel) tRNA". It matches the Rfam family "tRNA". From Rfam's summary of the family: Transfer RNA (tRNA) molecules are approximately 80 nucleotides in length. Their secondary structure includes four short double-helical elements and three loops (D, anti-codon, and T loops). Lineage: Eukaryota; Metazoa; Chordata; Mammalia; Rodentia; Sciuridae. The record is from Rfam by way of RNAcentral.